Molecule: long non-coding RNA, 2165 nt
Filed under: Citrus sinensis (sweet orange)
Lineage: Eukaryota; Viridiplantae; Streptophyta; Magnoliopsida; Sapindales; Rutaceae
Description: long non-coding RNA (CSIN_LNC001445)
Source: RNAcentral
CAUGAUCCAUCAAAGUUAGUUGCGGAGACACCAUGCAAGCUGCUGAGAUAUUUGGUUUCAGAUGGAAGUCAUAUUGAUGCUGACACUCCUUAUGCAGAAGUUGAGGUCAUGAAAAUGUGUAUGCCUCUUCUUUCACCUGCUUCUGGAGUUCUUCAAUUUAAGAUGGCUGAAGGUCAAGCAAUGCAGGUAAAUCAUUUUCCUUAUUUAAAAGUAUGAAUUUUCUAUAUCCAAUGGAAAUUAAGAAUUCAUUCCUGUGUAGGCUGGUGAGCUCAUAGCAAGGCUUGACCUAGAUGAUCCUUCAGCUGUAAGAAAAGCUGAACCUUUCUAUGGGAGUUUCCCAAUCCUGGGACCUCCAACAGCAAUUUCUGGUAAAGUUCAUCAGAGAUGUGCUGCAAGUUUAAAUGCAGCCCGCAUGAUUCUUGCUGGUUAUGAGCACAACAUAGAAGAAGUAAGCAUUUUCUUGCCUAUGUUAAUCUUAAUUGGAGAAUUUAAAGAUACUACAGUAAUUCUGUUGUGUCUGUGAUUUACUGAGUUUUGGUCUUUUUGACUUGCAAAUAUAGGUUAACUGAUUGCCACAGUGGGUUAUUUUUAAUAAAUACUUGUAAUUAAAAAAAAAAAAAAUGAUUUGUCUUCUCACAUAUUUGGCAUCUAUUUUAGGUGGUGCAAAACUUGCUUAACUGUCUUGAUAGUCCUGAACUCCCUUUGCUUCAAUGGCAAGAGUGCAUGGCUGUUUUGUCAACCCGCCUUCCCAAAGAUCUUAAAAAUGAGGUGAAUAUCUAACUUAGUAUUUGAACCCUUAUUUUUGCUCAAGUAGUGGCUUUAGGCUCCUAUGUUCAUCUAAUUCGUUGACCUGUUCAAUUUUAUCAGUUGGAAUCAAAAUGUAAGGAGUUCGAGAGAAUUUCAAGUUCCCAGAAUGUUGACUUCCCUGCCAAACUGCUGAGAGGUGUUCUUGAGGUGAGUUAUUUGUCUGUCAUUCUUCAUUUUCUAAACCAUCUGUCUAGAGCUUUAAUACAGUCAGGGUAUGUGCUUUUGCUGCAGGCACAUCUGUUGUCCUGUGCUGACAAAGAAAGAGGAUCCCAAGAAAGGCUUAUUGAGCCUUUGAUGAGUCUUGUUAAGUCUUAUGAGGGUGGAAGAGAGAGUCAUGCCCGUGUAAUUGUUCAGUCUCUUUUCGAAGAGUAUCUGUCAGUCGAAGAAUUAUUCAGUGAUCAGAUCCAGGUAAUUUUAUUUCUACCAAUUGCAAGUUGGUAAGUGAUGUUUUCAUGUGAAUGAGAUACCUUGUCUUGAUUAUUUGGGAUUGCCAACACCCCUUUUGUUGAUUCCCUGACAGAAUCAGGAUUUCUGUUAAAGUAUGAUGGAUAUAUUAGAUUGCCCAAAACCUAAAAAGAUAAUUAUUUACUCGAAUUGUAUUACAGUUGGAUGGAAAUAGUCAUGUUGUAUAUGCUGAGGAAGAGGCAGCAGGAACUCGCCUUCUCAUUGAUGGAAGAACUUGCUUGCUUCAGGUGCCGCCAAUUCUUUUUCUUACUUUUUAUUCUAUGUUCUAUUACUUUUGUUAGGUAAAUUGGUUAGUUAUCUUUGUUGUAUCCAGAAUGAUCAUGAUCCAUCAAAGUUAGUUGCGGAGACACCAUGCAAGCUGCUGAGAUAUUUGGUUUCAGAUGGAAGUCAUAUUGAUGCUGACACUCCUUAUGCAGAAGUUGAGGUCAUGAAAAUGUGUAUGCCUCUUCUUUCACCUGCUUCUGGAGUUCUUCAAUUUAAGAUGGCUGAAGGUCAAGCAAUGCAGGUAAAUCAUUUUCCUUAUUUAAAAGUAUGAAUUUUCUAUAUCCAAUGGAAAUUAAGAAUUCAUUCCUGUGUAGGCUGGUGAGCUCAUAGCAAGGCUUGACCUAGAUGAUCCUUCAGCUGUAAGAAAAGCUGAACCUUUCUAUGGGAGUUUCCCAAUCCUGGGACCUCCAACAGCAAUUUCUGGUAAAGUUCAUCAGAGAUGUGCUGCAAGUUUAAAUGCAGCCCGCAUGAUUCUUGCUGGUUAUGAGCACAACAUAGAAGAAGUAAGCAUUUUCUUGCCUAUGUUAAUCUUAAUUGGAGAAUUUAAAGAUACUACAGUAAUUCUGUUGUGUCUGUGAUUUACUGAGUUUUGGUCUUUUUGACUUGCAAAUAUAGGUUAACUGAUUGCC